GAGUUUGAUCAUGGCUCAGGAUGAACGCUAGCGGCAGGCUACACAUGCAAGUCGAGGGGCAACGCGAGUAGCAAUACUUGGCGGCGACCGGCGCAAGGGUGCGUAACGCGUGAGCAACAUGCCCGUAUCAGGGGGAUAACGUCCAGGGAAACUUUGGUCUAAUACCCCAUAGUAAUUUUGUAAGGCAUCUUAUAAGAUUUAAAGCUUUGGUGGAUACGGAUUGGCUCGCGUGACAUUAGCUGGAUGGUAAGGUAACGGCUUACCAUGGCUAUGAUGUCUAGGGGUUCUGAGAGGAAGGUCCCCCACACUGGAACUGAGACACGGUCCAGACUCCUACGGGAGGCAGCAGUGAGGAAUAUUGGACAAUGGAUGGAAAUCUGAUCCAGCCAUGCCGCCGUGAAGGAAGAAGGUCCUAUGGAUUGUAAACUUCUUUUGUAUGGGAGCAAUAAGGCCUACGAGUAGGUUGAUGAGAGUACCAUACGAAUAAGCACCGGCUAACUCCGUGCCAGCCGCGGC
RNAcentral lists this ribosomal RNA (516 nucleotides) under uncultured bacterium. RNAcentral's name for it is "bacterial SSU rRNA". It matches the Rfam family "Bacterial small subunit ribosomal RNA", at positions 9 to 518 of the family's 1533-position model. The record is from RNAcentral.